UACGUAGGGUGCGAGCGUUAUUCGGAAUUACUGGGCGUAAAGUGUGCGCAGGCGGCCGCGCAAGUCGAGUGUGAAAGCCCCGGGCUUAACUUGGGAAUUGCGCUCGAAACUACGUGGCUGGAGUGUGGCAGAGGAAGGUGGAAUUCCAGGUGUAGCGGUGAAAUGCGUAGAUAUCUGGAGGAAUACCGGUGGCGAAGGCGGCAUCCUGGACCGACAUUGACGCUGAUGAGCGAAAGCUAGGGGAGCAAACGGG
RNAcentral lists this ribosomal RNA (253 nucleotides) under uncultured bacterium. RNAcentral's name for it is "partial 16S ribosomal RNA". It matches the Rfam family "Bacterial small subunit ribosomal RNA", at positions 524 to 776 of the family's 1533-position model. The record is from RNAcentral.